CUCAGACAGCCAGGAUGUUGGCUUAGAAGCAGCCAUCAUUUAAAGAAAGCGUAAUAGCUCACUGGUCGAGUCGGCCUGCGCGGAAGAUGUAACGGGGCUAAACUAUGCACCGAAGCUGCGGCAGCGAUAUGUAAAUAUUGUUGGGUAGGGGAGCGUUCUGUAAGCCUGUGAAGGUGUACUGCGAGGUAUGCUGGAGGUAUCAGAAGUGCGAAUGCUGACAUAAGUAACGAUAAUGCGGGUGAAAAACCCGCACGCCGGAAGACCAAGGGUUCCUGUCCAACGUUAAUCGGGGCAGGGUGAGUCGACCCCUAAGGCGAGGCAGAAAUGCGUAGUCGAUGGGAAACGGGUUAAUAUUCCCGUACUGGUGAUAAUUGCGAUGGGGGGACGGAGAAGGCUAGGCUAUCCGGGCGACGGUUGUCCCGGUUUAAGGAUGUAGGCAGGUGAAUUAGGCAAAUCCGGUUCACUACAUGCUGAGGUCCGAUGACGAGUCACUACGGUGAUGAAGUAGCUCAUGCCCCGCUUCCAGGAAAAGCCUCUAAGCUCUAGAUUAUCAUUAAUCGUACCCCAAACCGACACAGGUGGUCAGGUAGAGAAUACUCAGGCGCUUGA
Molecule: ribosomal RNA, 609 nt
Filed under: Providencia rettgeri
Lineage: Bacteria; Pseudomonadati; Pseudomonadota; Gammaproteobacteria; Enterobacterales; Morganellaceae
Description: partial 23S ribosomal RNA
Rfam family: Bacterial large subunit ribosomal RNA
Source: RNAcentral